Molecule: ribosomal RNA, 411 nt
Filed under: bacterium enrichment culture clone ALO1_GLFRUDD03GU7V5
Lineage: Bacteria
Description: bacterial SSU rRNA
Rfam family: Bacterial small subunit ribosomal RNA
Source: RNAcentral
GAGUUUGAUCCUGGCUCAGAUUGAACGCUGGCGGCAUGCCUUACACAUGCAAGUCGAACGGCAGCACGGGAGCUUGCUCCUGGUGGCGAGUGGCGAGCGGGUGAGUAAUGCAUCGGAACGUAUCCUGGAGUGGGGGAUAACGUAGCGAAAGUUACGCUAAUACCGCAUAUUCUGUGAGCAGGAAAGCGGGGGACCUUCGGGCCUCGCGCUCUUGGAGCGGCCGAUGUCGGAUUAGCUAGUUGGUGAGGUAAAGGCUCACCAAGGCGACGAUCCGUAGCAGGUCUGAGAGGAUGAUCUGCCACACUGGAACUGAGACACGGUCCAGACUCCUACGGGAGGCAGCAGUGGGGAAUUUUGGACAAUGGGGGCAACCCUGAUCCAGCCAUGCCGCGUGAGUGAAGAAGGCCUCGG